AUUGAACGCUGGCGGCAGGCCUAACACAUGCAAGUCGAACGGUAACAGGAAGAAGCUUGCUUCUUUGCUGACGAGUGGCGGACGGGUGAGUAAUGUCUGGGAAACUGCCUGAUGGAGGGGGAUAACUACUGGAAACGGUAGCUAAUACCGCAUAACGUCGCAAGACCAAAGAGGGGGACCUUCGGGCCUCUUGCCAUCGGAUGUGCCCAGAUGGGAUUAGCUAGUAGGUGGGGUAACGGCUCACCUAGGCGACGAUCCCUAGCUGGUCUGAGAGGAUGACCGGCCACACUGGAACUGGACCACGGUCCAGACUCCUACGGGAGGCAGCAGUGGGGAAUAUUGCACAAUGGGCGCAAGCCUGAUGCAGCCAUGCCGCGUGUAUGAAGAAGGCCUUCGGGUUGUAAAGUACUUGCAGCGGGGAGGAAGGGAGUAAAGUUAAUACCUUUCCUCAUUGACGUUACCCGCAGAAGAAGCACCGGCUAACUCCGUG
RNAcentral lists this ribosomal RNA (490 nucleotides) under uncultured bacterium. Its description in RNAcentral is "partial 16S ribosomal RNA". It matches the Rfam family "Bacterial small subunit ribosomal RNA", at positions 30 to 507 of the family's 1533-position model. The record is from RNAcentral.